UCAAUUUGGACGACAUCGUGAUGACAUAUGUCUAUUAAAUGAAAAAAAUACACACUUGCAUUAGUUUACUCUUCGUCUUCGUCUCCGUCCCCAGCACAAAAAAAAUUUUAUGCGUUCUCAGACAACAUCAAUGAAGUCUCAAGUUUCUGGUUAACUCAAAUCGACGUGAAGAAUUCCUUUGUUGGUCUUCAAUCGCAUCGUUUAGCCUUCAUUUCUAAUCAACCGAAACACUUUGAGUUACAUAUUCAUCGCCUUUAUCACUUUCUUAACUCCGUAGACCGACGUGAACACGAUCUGACAUUAAAUGCGACUUAACCCUCUGCAAAUCGGUGUAUUUGCACUUAUAAAAAGAAGUUCGGCUGCUGCUCCUCCACCGUCCAACUAAGAGGAGAUCGAGAUGUUGUGAACAGCUUUGUCGGCUUUCAUGUCUAAAUAAGAAGAGAUCGAGACAAAGAAGAUGGAGGUUUGGAAAAUGAUUUAAUCUCAGCUUUGUUGUGUAGAAGAAGAAACCGAAUGAUUGGUGAUGGAAUUGCCUUUGUUGACAGUAAAGAAGAUAUAUUUGUUGAUGCUCCCGAAGAGUUGAAUUUCGACACACCCAGCAAGGAAGCUCUCACUACAGACUACGAUGAUGACAAUAGAAAUCAAUUUAGUAGAUACUUGAUUUUUUUAAAAGUUAAUUUGUAUUUAUUGAAAAAUGAUCUUUGUUCUGAUUUGUUCAUUUAUGUUCGUUUUCUACCAUUCAUAGGAUAGGGAGAAGGAACUUUCAGUGUUGCAGGAAUAGUUUAACCUCUUGGCUGCCGAGAAGAAUGAAGAUGGGAACACCGUGGAGAUACUCAGUCGCUUCUUCGAGUUUCUAGAUACUGCCGACGAAGAGAAGGUUCAGCAUGAGGAUGCAAUCAAGGAGCUUCGUGGGAUUAUCAGUGGGAAGGACGAGUAGGUUGCUCAUCUCACCACAAAGAUCUCAGAGCUUUCUUUGUCACAGAAUGAGGACCAACUUGAAGCUGCAACUCAUAGGAUUCUGCUUUCUUUUAGUAAUGUGUUUGGGCAAAAAGAGCCGCAAGAUGGCUCUUCUGUCUCUGAAAAAAUUUGCUUAUCUGGAGAGUGGAGUUUCUUUUUAAGUGCUAAGUACGCUGAGUUUUAUUACGAUGCUUCAAUCAAAUAACACUUAAUCUCCUGAUAUUUAUAUGAACAAAAAUUUACA
This is a long non-coding RNA of Brassica napus (rape), 1201 nucleotides long. RefSeq lists it as uncharacterized. The record is from RefSeq and is a predicted model, not a curated record. NCBI's taxonomy places the organism in Eukaryota, Viridiplantae, Streptophyta, Magnoliopsida, Brassicales, Brassicaceae. The transcript is spliced from 3 exons.